RNAcentral lists this ribosomal RNA (1014 nucleotides) under Chondrilla sp. G304573. Its description in RNAcentral is "eukaryotic LSU rRNA". It matches the Rfam family "Eukaryotic large subunit ribosomal RNA", at positions 856 to 1823 of the family's 3401-position model. Lineage: Eukaryota; Metazoa; Porifera; Demospongiae; Chondrillida; Chondrillidae. The record is from RNAcentral.
GGGAAACCCUGGUNGAUGCCCGCAGCGGUUCUGACGUGCAAAUCGAUCGUCUGAUUUGGGUAUAGGGGCGAAAGACUAAUCGAACCGUCUAGUAGCUGGUUCCCUCCGAAGUUUCCCUCAGGAUAGCUGGAACCCUUGUGCGCAGUUUUAUCAGGUAAAGCGAAUGAUUAGAGGCCUUGGGGUUGAAACAACCUCAACCUAUUCUCAAACUUUAAAUGGGUAAGAUGUCGGACUUGCCCGAUUCGAAGUCCGACUUGGAAUGCGCGGGUACCAAGUGGGCCAUUUUUGGUAAGCAGAACUGGCGAUGCGGGAUGAACCGAAAGCCGGGUCAAGGUGCCCAAGUCGACGCUCAUCAGAACCCAGGAGAGGUGUCGGUCGAUCCAGACAGCAGGACGGUGGCCAUAAAAGUCGGAACCCGCCAAGGAGUGUGUAACAACUCACCUGCCGAAUCAACCGGCCCUGAAAAUGGAUGGCGCUGAAGCGUUGCACCGAACCCCGGCCGUCGCGGGCAAAUUGGAGGCCCCGACGUGUAGNAGGGCGCGACGGUGGCGCAGAAGUUGGGUGCGCGAGCCCCAGUCGAGCUGCCGUCGGUGCAGAUCUUGGUGGUAGUAGCAACUAUUCAAAUGAGAACUUUGAAGACUGAAGUGGAGAAGGGUUCCAUGUGAACAGCAGUUGGACAUGGGUGAGUCGGUCCUGAGGGAGGGGUCAACUCCCUUCCAGCGUGCGGGCUCUCGAUGAGACGGCUUGCACUGGCUCCCGAAAGGGAAUCGGGUCAACAUCCCCGAACCGGAAUGCAGUGUUGGCAGACGGCCCCCGUGGCUGCCUGCCUUGGCGGUGACGCUUGCAAGCUCGGAGACGUCGGUGCGAGUUCCGGGAAGAGUUCUCUUUUCUUCUCAACGGGUGUUUGACCCUGGAAUGAGAUUGCCUCGAGAUAGGGUCGGCUGCCCGGCCAAGCGUCGCACCUCUGGCGGCGUCCGGUGCACUCGCAAAGACCCGUGAAAAUCCGAGGGCGCA